CGGUAGGCGGACGGGUGGGUAACGCGUGGGUAACCUGCCUCAUACAGGGGGAUAACGGUUAGAAAUGACUGCUAAUACCGCAUAAGCGCACAGUACCGCAUGGUACGGUGUGAAAAACUCCGGUGGUAUGAGAUGGACCCGCGUCUGAUUAGCUAGUUGGUGGGGUAACGGCCCACCAAGGCGACGAUCAGUAGCCGACCUGAGAGGGUGACCGGCCACAUUGGGACUGAGACACGGCCCAG
RNAcentral lists this ribosomal RNA (242 nucleotides) under uncultured bacterium. Its description in RNAcentral is "partial 16S ribosomal RNA". It matches the Rfam family "Bacterial small subunit ribosomal RNA", at positions 92 to 334 of the family's 1533-position model. The record is from RNAcentral.